AACGUAGGUUCCGAGCGUUAUCCGGAUUUACUGGGCGUAAAGCGCGUUCAGGCGGUUUGGCAAGUCGGGCAUGAAAUCUCUCGGCUCAACCGGGAGAGGUUGUCCGAUACUGCUGGACUUGAGGGCAGUAGAGGGUGGUGGAAUUCCGGGUGUAGUGGUGAAAUGCGUAGAUAUCUGGAGGAAUACCGGUGGCGAAGGCGGCAUCCUGGACCGGCAUUGACGCUGAGGCGCGAAAGCUAGGGGAGCAAACAGG
RNAcentral lists this ribosomal RNA (253 nucleotides) under uncultured bacterium. Its description in RNAcentral is "partial 16S ribosomal RNA". It matches the Rfam family "Bacterial small subunit ribosomal RNA", at positions 524 to 776 of the family's 1533-position model. The record is from RNAcentral.